ACCUUAGAGGGAGGAGACUUGGAAAGGAGCCGAGCAUGGGUGAGCACUCAAAGAUUCAGGCUGGCUGUGUGAUCGAUGCUAGGACCAUGCAGGAUGUGGGCAGACAAGAGGAGGAGGCUGCCUCUCAUGUUCCUCCCCCUCGGUCCCCACGCUUAGGGAGAUGUGGGGCUGGCGAUGGGAAAGCUGUAUGGCAACGACUUCAGCCAGACCACCAUCUCACGAUUUGAGGCCCUCAACCUGAGCUUCAAGAACAUGUGCAAGCUCAAGCCCCUGCUGGAGAAGUGGCUGAAUGAUGCAGAGUCCUCUCCGUCAGACCCCUCAGUGAGCACGCCCAGCUCCUACCCCAGCCUCAGUGAAGUAUUUGGUAGGAAGAGAAAGAAACGGACCAGCAUCGAGACCAACAUCCGCCUGACUCUGGAGAAGAGGUUUCAAGAUAACCCAAAACCCAGCUCGGAGGAGAUCUCCAUGAUUGCAGAGCAGUUGUCCAUGGAGAAGGAGGUGGUGAGGGUCUGGUUCUGCAACCGACGCCAAAAGGAGAAGCGAAUCAACUGCCCUGUGGCCACACCCAUCAAACCACCUGUCUACAACUCCCGGCUGGUAUCUCCCUCAGGGUCUCUGGGCCCCCUCUCUGUCCCUCCUGUCCACAGUACCAUGCCUGGAACAGUAACGUCAUCCUGUUCCCCUGGGAACAACAGCAGGCCUUCAUCUCCUGGCUCAGGACUCCAUGCCAGCAGCCCCACUGCAUCUCAAAAUAACUCCAAAGCAGCAGUGAACUCCACCUCCAGUUUUAACUCUUCAGGAUCUUGGUACCGAUGGAAUCAUCCCACCUACCUCCACUGAGACCAAAAAGUUUCUCCUACUCCACCUGGCCCUGUAUUCCCCCUGGAAGGAAGGGAAUCAUGCCUUCUAUAUACAGACAGAUUGCCUUCAGAAGAGUGGAAGAAAAUCUCCACUAUCAAUGAACCCAGACUCUUGUCUUCUUCAAGAGCAAGGGCCUCUGGAGAUCCAAACUGUGAUUGAACCAAGUGCAGACUCCUAAUGCUCUUGAAAUACACAGCCCCUCCUAGAAGCUUACCAUUUUCACCUUCCUUGCCUAUGCCCUUGCCUUCUAGUUCCAAAUAUUUUAGCCAGCUUCACUGUGGCAAUAGUCUUUCAGAGAAAAGACUUCUUGCUGUUAUUCUCCAACUCAUCCGUGGGCUUCUGGGGACAGCCAUUUGGCUGGGGUGCCAAACACCAGAAGGGGAGAUAAUAGUUUUGACUCUGAGCUUGGCCACAACCCCUGAACUGAUCCCAAAAUCUGUGAAAAGAUUUGAAUCUGAUAUCUCCACCAAAGCCUUGAUGUUUUCUCUGUACAGCUAAGUUUUCUGAUGGACUCUUCAUCUCACCCCAUUUUUUUAACCUCGCCCCCUUUUCUACAAUCAAAUCCAUUCAUUAUUGCGCCCUCCAGGUCCCCUCCUUUUUGCAGAAGGUGUAAAAGAGCUGCCCUUGGUGGGUGCCCUGGGCAUGUUGCAACGCCCGCUGGUGCCCUUCUGUCUGUCCACAUCUGCCUAGGGCUCAGGAGUGCCUGUUCUUUCCCUUCCUCCCUGUGUUUCUCUUUAUCCUGUCCUCUCUCCUUUCUCCUGGCAGCAGAAAAGGAAGAACACAAGAGCAAACACACAACAAUGAUGGUGGCAAAGUACCUGUAUAUAUAGCCCUUUCCCAUUUUUUGCAUUAUGUUCUUAACUCCUUAAUGUGGAAUCUUCCAGCAAAAUGUUUAACUCAGGUGUGAUUUUUGAAAA
RNAcentral lists this small RNA (1778 nucleotides) under Pan troglodytes (chimpanzee). RNAcentral describes it as "retained intron". Lineage: Eukaryota; Metazoa; Chordata; Mammalia; Primates; Hominidae. The record is from RNAcentral.